This 497-nucleotide ribosomal RNA is filed under the name uncultured bacterium. RNAcentral's name for it is "partial 16S ribosomal RNA". It matches the Rfam family "Bacterial small subunit ribosomal RNA", at positions 28 to 507 of the family's 1533-position model. The record is from RNAcentral.
GAUGAACGCUGGCGGCGUGCCUAAUACAUGCAAGUCGAGCGAACAGACGAGGAGCUUGCUCCUCUGACGUUAGCGGCGGACGGGUGAGUAACACGUGGAUAACCUACCUAUAAGACUGGGAUAACUUCGGGAAACCGGAGCUAAUACCGUAUAAUAUAUUGAACCGCAUUGUUCAAUAGUGAAAGACGGUUUUGCUGUCACUUAUAGAUGGAUCCGCGCCGCAUUAGCUAGUUGGUAAGUUAACGGCUUACCAAGGCAACGAUGCGUAGCCGACCUGAGAGGGUGAUCGGCCACACUGGAACUGAGACACGGUCCAGACUCCUACGGGAGGCAGCAGUAGGGAAUCUUCCGCAAUGGGCGAAAGCUUGACGGAGCAACGCCGCGUGAGUGAUGAAGGUCUUCGGAUCGUAAAACUCUGUUAUUAGGGAAGAACAAAUGUGUAAGUAACUAUGCACGUCUUGACGGUACCUAAUCAGAAAGCCACGGCUAACUACGUG